AAAAAAAUAAAUCCUAGAUUUUCGUGUCCAACGUUUAACUGUCCGUCUUAUAUGAAAAAUUUUUAUAAUUAGUAUUUUCAUUGUUGUUAUAUGAUAAAAUAUGAUUAAUACUUUAUACGUAACUUGUCUUUUUAAUUUUUUUCAUAAUUUUUUCAAAUAAUAUGAUCAAACAUUGGACAUGAAAACUCAGGGUUUGUCUUUUU
This is a microRNA precursor of Oryza sativa Japonica Group (Japanese rice), 203 nucleotides long. It matches the Rfam family "MIR812 microRNA precursor family". Lineage: Eukaryota; Viridiplantae; Streptophyta; Magnoliopsida; Poales; Poaceae. The record is from Rfam.